RNAcentral lists this small nuclear RNA (320 nucleotides) under Oryctolagus cuniculus (rabbit). RNAcentral describes it as "7SK RNA". It matches the Rfam family "7SK RNA". Rfam says of the family: 7SK was discovered as an abundant small nuclear RNA in the mid-70s but a possible function has only recently been suggested. Two independent studies have found that 7SK RNA binds the CDK9/cyclin T complex (known as elongation factor P-TEFb). The record is from Rfam by way of RNAcentral. Lineage: Eukaryota; Metazoa; Chordata; Mammalia; Lagomorpha; Leporidae.
GGAUGUGAGGGCCAUCUGGCUGUGACAUCUGUCACCCCAUUGAUCGCCAGGGUUGAUUCGGCUGAUCUGGUGGCCAGGCGGGUGUCCCCUUCCUCCCUCACCGCUCCAUGUGUGUCCCUCCCAAAGCUGCGCGCUCAGUCGAAGAGGACGACCUUCCCCGCUAGAGGAGGACCAGUCUUCAGUCAAGGGUACAUGAGUAGCUACGCUCCCCUGCUAGAACCUCCAAACUAGCUCUCGAGAGUGCACUGGAGUGUCUAGCCAGUGGCAUAAGUUAAGUAAAAGAAAUAAAAGGGCCAGGUUGGAAAAAGUUGUCUUAAUUU